UACGAAGGGGGCUAGCGUUGUUCGGAAUUACUGGGCGUAAAGCGCACGUAGGCGGAUCGAUCAGUCAGGGGUGAAAUCCCAGAGCUCAACUCUGGAACUGCCUUUGAUACUGGGUGUCUUGAGUGUGAUAGAGGUAUGUGGAACUCCGAGUGUAGAGGUGAAAUUCGUAGAUAUUCGGAAGAACACCAGUGGCGAAGGCGACAUACUGGAUCAUUACUGACGCUGAGGCUCGAAAGCGUGGGGAGCAAACAGG
Molecule: ribosomal RNA, 253 nt
Filed under: uncultured bacterium
Lineage: Bacteria
Description: partial 16S ribosomal RNA
Rfam family: Bacterial small subunit ribosomal RNA
Source: RNAcentral